Molecule: ribosomal RNA, 499 nt
Filed under: uncultured bacterium
Lineage: Bacteria
Description: partial 16S ribosomal RNA
Rfam family: Bacterial small subunit ribosomal RNA
Source: RNAcentral
GAUGAACGCUGGCGGCGUGCCUAAUACAUGCGAGUCGAGCGAACAGACGAGAGUGCUUGCUCUCUCUGACGUUAGCGGCGGACGGGUGAGUAACACGUGGGUCACCUACCUAUAAGACUGGGAUAACUUCGGGAAACCGGAGCUAAUACCGGAUAAUAUUUAGCUUCGCAUGAAGCAAUAGUGAAAGACGGUUCUGCUGUCACUUAUAGAUUGACCCGGGGUGUAUUAGCUAGUUGGUGAGGUAACGGCUCACCAAGGCGACGAUACAUAACCGGUCUGAGAGGAUGAUAGGUCAAAAUGGAACUGAGACAAGGUCCAGACUCAUACGGGAGGCAGCAGUGGGGAAUAUUGGACAAUGGGCGAAAGACUGAUGCAGCCAUGCCGCGUGAGUGAAGAAGGUCUUCGGAUUGUAAAGCACUUUUAUUUGGGAAGAACGGAAGUGAGUUAAUAUCUGGCUAUCUUGACGUUACCAAAAGAAUAAGCACCGGCUAACUUCGUG